Molecule: ribosomal RNA, 301 nt
Filed under: uncultured bacterium
Lineage: Bacteria
Description: partial 16S ribosomal RNA
Rfam family: Bacterial small subunit ribosomal RNA
Source: RNAcentral
CAGCCGCCGCGGGAAUACAGAGGGUGCGAGCGUUAAUCGGAUUUACUGGGCGUAAAGCGUGCGUAGGCGGCUUUUUAAGACGGAUGUGAAAUCCCUGAGCUUAACUUAGGAAUUGCAUUCGAUACUGGGAAGCUAGAGUAUGGGAGAGGAUGGUAGAAUUCCAGGUGUAGCGGUGAAAUGCGUAGAGAUCUGGAGGAAUACCGAUGGCGAAGGCAGCCAUCUGGCCUAAUACUGACGCUGAGGUACGAAAGCAUGGGGAGCAAACAGGAUUAGAUACCCCUGUAGUCCCUGUCUCUUAUAC